RNAcentral lists this non-coding RNA (77 nucleotides) under unclassified sequences. The record is from RNAcentral.
UCCCCCCAAUCUACGUGCUACCUCACCGCGGUGGGGGGAGUGGCAACAUCCCCAAACGGGGAUGGCUAAAUGCGCGU